CUAAGCUUUGCUCCUCAGAUAGAGCACAUAUUCAAUCGACGUCCAAGGGAGAGAGGAAGAGGGACGACGGGAGGUAGGGUGGGGAGGCCUAGCUUCUUAUGCCAUCUCCCCAUCAUGGGGUUGGGGGAUCACAGCAGAAGAGAGACAAAAGGACACCCCAGCCUGCAAUCUGAAUAAAGUUGACCUGUGUAAUCAAGAGGAUAUUGCAGAAAUGACAGCAUACACGAGGCGAGGUCAUAGAAAACAUGGCAACUUCCUUCUGGAGGAAGCCAACUACCACUCCGUGAGGACACACAAGCAGCCCAAUGGAGAGGUCCAGGGGGUGAGGUACUGCAACCUCUGACCAACAGCUGGCACUGACUUGCCAGUGAUGAAUGAGCGAUGUUGGAAACAGAUCCUCCAGCCCCAGUCACACCUUCAGGUGACAGCAGCCCCGGCCAGUGUCUUGAACGCAACCUCAUGAGAGAUUCUAAGUUGUUCUCACAUUCCUGACUCACAAAAACUGUGUCACGUAAUAAAUGCCUAUUGUUGUUUUAAUCUGCU
Molecule: long non-coding RNA, 543 nt
Filed under: Equus caballus (horse)
Lineage: Eukaryota; Metazoa; Chordata; Mammalia; Perissodactyla; Equidae
Description: lncRNA (ENSECAG00000056743.1)
Source: RNAcentral